RNAcentral lists this microRNA precursor (101 nucleotides) under Lupinus albus (white lupine). Lineage: Eukaryota; Viridiplantae; Streptophyta; Magnoliopsida; Fabales; Fabaceae. The record is from RNAcentral.
AGAGUGGAUUUGAGCCAAGGAUGACUUGCCGGCAUUUGCUUUAAUGAAUAUUUCAAUUUUGGGCUUUGUCGGUAGUUAGCCUUGGCUCAAAUUUAUUCCCU